GACGAACGCUGGCGGCGUGCUUAACACAUGCAAGUCGAACGGAAAGGCCCUGCUUUUGUGGGGUGCUCGAGUGGCGAACGGGUGAGUAACACGUGAGUAACCUGCCCUUGACUUUGGGAUAACUUCAGGAAACUGGGGCUAAUACCGGAUAGGAGCUCCUGCUGCAUGGUGGGGGUUGGAAAGUUUCGGCGGUUGGGGAUGGACUCGCGGCUUAUCAGCUUGUUGGUGGGGUAGUGGCUUACCAAGGCUUUGACGGGUAGCCGGCCUGAGAGGGUGACCGGCCACAUUGGGACUGAGAUAGGGCCCAGACUCCUACGGGAGGCAGCAGUGGGGAAUAGUGCACAAUGGGCGGAAGCCUGAUGCAGCAACGCCGCGUGCGGGAUGACGGCCUUCGGGUUGUAAACCGCUUUCGCCUGUGACGAAGCGUGAGUGACGGUAAUGGGUAAAGAAGCACCGGCUAACUACGUG
Molecule: ribosomal RNA, 468 nt
Filed under: uncultured bacterium
Lineage: Bacteria
Description: partial 16S ribosomal RNA
Rfam family: Bacterial small subunit ribosomal RNA
Source: RNAcentral